This 1009-nucleotide long non-coding RNA is filed under the name Mastacembelus armatus (zig-zag eel). RNAcentral's name for it is "lncRNA (ENSMAMG00000027300.1)". The record is from RNAcentral. Lineage: Eukaryota; Metazoa; Chordata; Actinopteri; Synbranchiformes; Mastacembelidae.
AUAAUAUGGUUCCCCACAGGCUGUCAUUUGGGGAGUUCUUAUCAUUUGAGUAUGUAUCUUUUAAAAUGGAGCAGAAAUUAUCUCCCUCUAUACUUUUUAUUAUCCUCUACAAACCUCCCCAAUGCUGUCAAAAUUUUAUUGAUGAAUUUACUGAGAUGCUUUCAGUCGUCUUCACAGAGUUUGACUGUUUGGUUAUUACAGGUGAUUUCAAUGUUCACAUGGAUAAGGCCUGUGACAGAUAUGCUAAAGAACUUUCUGCCGUCCUUGAAAUGUAUGGCCUUAGCCAGCACGUCAGGGAGCCGACCCAUACCAGAGGUCACACUCUGGACCUUGUCAAUACUAAGGGUGUUGUUAACGCUUCUAAUAUCACUGUGAUUGAUGUUGCUUUGUCUGAUCAUUUUUGUGUCUUUUUUGAUUUGUUCAUAAUUCCCAAAGAUGCAACUGGACCUACACUUGUUCAGAAAAGACACAUAAAUGAUAACACCAGGAAAGUGUUUAUGGAGAUGAUUAGGUUUGAAAAUAUCACUUUCUCUCAUGUUGAAGAUUUGUUGACUUCAUAUACUUCAAGUGUUCUAAAUGUCAUAGAUGUGAUUGCUCCUGUUAAGGAUAAAUUAAUCAGGAACAGGCAUAAGCCACCGUGGAGAAAUGAUGUCUCCAUCAGGGCACAGAAAAGGGAGUGCCGGAAGGCCGAACGAAGAUGGCGUAAAUCAAAGCUCCAGGUUCAUUAUGACAUUUAUAAGCAGAUGCUGUGUGUGUUCAAUGAAACUCUACGUAGAAAGAGAGAAAUGUAUUUUUCUGAAAUCAUCAACAACAGCAGUAACAACUCACGUGUCCUGUUUGCUACAGUGAGUAGGUUGACAAACCCUCCAUCUCCAUUGCCACUGGAACUGAUUUCAACAUCUAAAUGUAAUGAAUUUGCAUUAUUUUUUAAUGACAAGAUUCAGGGUAUUAAACAAACAAUAAAUUGCACAAGGCAGAUACCAACUCUGCAGCCAUCCAGGAAACACUU